Molecule: transfer RNA, 68 nt
Filed under: Sicista concolor (Chinese birch mouse)
Lineage: Eukaryota; Metazoa; Chordata; Mammalia; Rodentia; Dipodidae
Description: tRNA-Glu
Source: RNAcentral
GUUUCUAUAGUUGAAUUUACAACGGUGAUUUUUCAUGUCACAGGUCGUGGGUUGACUGCGUAGGAAUA